AAACAAUGUGUUUUACAAUUCG
This 22-nucleotide small nuclear RNA is filed under the name Arabidopsis thaliana (thale cress). RNAcentral describes it as "snRNA_16081". The record is from RNAcentral. Lineage: Eukaryota; Viridiplantae; Streptophyta; Magnoliopsida; Brassicales; Brassicaceae.